CAUGAGUUCGAUUCUCAUAAGGAGCAC
RNAcentral lists this unclassified non-coding RNA (27 nucleotides) under Dictyostelium discoideum. Lineage: Eukaryota; Evosea; Eumycetozoa; Dictyosteliales; Dictyosteliaceae. The record is from RNAcentral.